GGUUAAGCGACUAAGCGUACACGGUGGAUGCCUAGGCAGUCAGAGGCGAUGAAGGGCGUGCUAAUCUGCGAAAAGCGUCGGUAAGGUGAUAUGAACCGUUAUAACCGACGAUACCCGAAUGGGGAAACCCAGUGCAAUUCGUUGCACUAUUGCAUGGUGAAUACAUAGCCAGCAAGGCGAACGGGG
RNAcentral lists this ribosomal RNA (186 nucleotides) under Yersinia enterocolitica. RNAcentral describes it as "partial 23S ribosomal RNA". It matches the Rfam family "Bacterial large subunit ribosomal RNA", at positions 1 to 188 of the family's 2925-position model. The record is from RNAcentral. Lineage: Bacteria; Pseudomonadati; Pseudomonadota; Gammaproteobacteria; Enterobacterales; Yersiniaceae.